GACGAACGCUGGCGGCGUGCUUAACACAUGCAAGUCGAACGGAAAGGCCCUGCUUUUGUGGGGUGCUCGAGUGGCGAACGGGUGAGUAACACGUGAGUAACCUGCCCUUGACUUUGGGAUAACUUCAGGAAACUGGGGCUAAUACCGGAUAGGAGCUCCUGCUGCAUGGUGGGGGUUGGAAAGUUUCGGCGGUUGGGGAUGGACUCGCGGCUUAUCAGCUUGUUGGUGGGGUAGUGGCUUACCAAGGCUUUGACGGGUAGCCGGCCUGAGAGGGUGACCGGCCACAUGGGGACUGAGAGACGGCCCAGACUCCUACGGGAGGCAGCAGGGGGGAAUAUUGCACAAUGGGCGGAAGCCUGAGGCAGCAACGCCGCGUGCGGGAUGACGGCCUUCGGGUUGUAAACCGCUUUCGCCUGUGACGAAGCGUGAGUGACGGUAAUGGGUAAAGAAGCACCGGCUAACUACGUG
RNAcentral lists this ribosomal RNA (468 nucleotides) under uncultured bacterium. Its description in RNAcentral is "partial 16S ribosomal RNA". It matches the Rfam family "Bacterial small subunit ribosomal RNA", at positions 28 to 507 of the family's 1533-position model. The record is from RNAcentral.